AUCACAGAGCAGUCGUUGUUGUCCUUGCUAUAUCGGACGGUACAAAAAGUGACAAUCGAUGUUUUCGCUUUCAUUUUUAUAUUGUUAUUGUUCUUCAGUUUUUGUUUUUGUGAAGUAUGAAAGAAACUGGGUUCUUGCUUUGUUCUUGAUUUUUUUGUUUCAUGCAUUUGUUUUUAUUCUUUCAACCACAAUCUUUUUAGUUCUUGCCACUCUAAUUUCAGUUUUAUGAGUGUUUGGAGAAUGAUUGUAAUGUGAUGUUAAAUGGAUUGUUUUUUACAGUAUGUGUAGUGAAGGGAAAUUAGUGGAUGGUGCAGCAAGGGGCUGAUGGUUAGGAAUGAGGUGGAAACAAAAUUAUUCAAGAACACAGGGGAAUAGAGUUACAAGUUGAGGCAUUAUGUUUGAGGAUACUUUUAUAAGACAAUUAAGGGAAGACCAUUU
RNAcentral lists this long non-coding RNA (438 nucleotides) under Trifolium pratense (red clover). RNAcentral describes it as "long non-coding RNA (TPRA_LNC010385)". The record is from RNAcentral. Lineage: Eukaryota; Viridiplantae; Streptophyta; Magnoliopsida; Fabales; Fabaceae.